GUGAGAGAGAGAGACAGAGAGAGGUAUUUCAAGCAGCUGCGGAACGUGGGUCCCACGGAAGGUGACCGUGUGGGUACAUUAGUCCGGAGUCCUUCCAGAAACUCCAUAAAAAGCGUCGUCAUUGAGAAUUAUGGGACUAAUUAUAUAUUAUCAUUUGUAAUUAGUUAAUCUUAAUAUUUUAAUUUUUAUAUUAUUAAAAAUUAUAUUUUUUUUUUUACUCUAAAAUAUAUAAUCAUAUUUUUUUUCUCAUAUUAUCGAUUUUAUUGAUGAAAAUACUACACGUCUUCAGUGAUAAACUCUACAUUAUUUUUAUCGAUAAAAUUAACGAUUCAUAAAUAUAUGGAUCCUAAUAUAAUUUUUAAAAAUAUAAAAAUUAAGAUACUAAAUAUAACUAAUUAUAAGAAUAAUAUAUAAUUAACCUAAAUUUAUUUGUACGAUCGAUGAUAAAACAAAAUAGCAAGAGAUUUAAGCCUCUUGCAUUUGAACAUCUAAAGAGAUUUUAAAAAAAAUGCUACUAACGUUGUUGUCUUUACAAAUGAACUCUUUAAGAGGUGAUUAAUCAGAGGUUUUCAUGAGACAGUAUAAGUUAAUUUUUGUGGAGAAAUAUUAAAUUCAAAAUAAGAUUAGCCUAUGAUAUAAGAUAAAAAAAAAAGGGAGGUCAAUAUCAUCUCUAUGUGUAGGAACUUUAUAACUUGGAUAUCAGAACUUCCAUAUUGGUAAUGCAAUUUCAUGAGACUAAGGAAGUAAUUCUUCUUUCUUCAAAAUCUUAAUUAGAUUUUAAUCAUCCCUCUCAACUUCCAAAUAUACCCCUUUUCUACUUGUAAAAAAAUAGUGAAUUAAUUAUAUAUUACCUCAUGUAAUUAUCUAUUAUUAGCAUCUCAAACCUUAUAUUUUUAAAGUUACGUUGAGAUAUUUAUAUUUAUGGAAGUGAAACAUUUGAUCUAGUUUCUCAUCAUAUAGCUAAUAAAAAUAUCAUAGGGUUUAUCACUAAGCACGUGUCGACUCUGUCUCACUUAAUUUAUCAUCGAUCACAUAUGGUAUUUUCAUCAAUAGAAUCGAUAACAUAAAGAAGAACAUGAUUAAAUAUUUCACUUUCGUAAGUAUAAGUAGAGAUCAUAAUUUAAUUUUUGAAAGUAUAAAAACUAAAAUAUUAAUUAUAGUUAAUUAAAAAAUAUAUAAUUAACUCAAAAAUAAUCCUUUUUAUGGUUAAUGCUUCAGUUUUGCAUCCAGUCCAAGUUUCACUUGUAAUCUCUUAGUAGAAAUCCCAUUACACCCUUGAUGUAAAGCACCUUCGAACCAAUAUUGACUAAUAUGAAAAUGAGAUAGAUAUAUAUAUAUAUAUAUAUAUAUAUAUAUAUAUAUAUUUGUCAUUUCAUAUUUGUUUUGUUGGCUGUACAGAUGCAGUGUCCUUGCCCUAUGGAUUCAUCUGUCGGAGCAACGCAUGCACUUUAAUUUGGCACAUCCUCUUAAACUUAGCAUUUGCCUUUAGAUGGAACUGCAACACCUCGAAGGCAUCAUCUGCUUGGAGGCAGAAGACAUUCCAUGACCAUGUAAAACAACAGCAUUACGACACUGCUAUAUAUCGAAGUAUGAUGCUGAACAAAGGUGGAACGUAUGCGCCAUUGUUCAUGUGUAGAUCGGGUAAAAGUAUAUCUACCCAUCGUUACUGUAUGUUCAAGCCAUUCAGAGAACUGUUCGAUCGAACUGCCUUCCUUGAGAUGAACUAAAGAAUAAGAACGAGAUGUCGAGAAAGGAUUCACCCUCCCUGACGCACGAGCGGUGACGGCGACCUGAGAGGAGGAGAAAAGGAAUCCGAUAUCCUAAACGAAAGUGAUAUAUCAGAAGAUAUUUCUCUGCAAACAUAGCAAGGCAAAUCAAGCAGGGAAUGGCAUAACGACGGGAGGCUCACAUGAGGGACCAACGAGUGCUUCGUAAUGCGGCAACAUCCGUGAACCUGUCGCUCUCCCUAUGGGUCCCUGCAACGGGGUGUGCUACACGGUGGUACCACCGGAGUUGAUGACGAUGACGACCUUGUCGUCACCCUCGCGUCCAUGGCAGGCAAAGGGCGUUCGGGGACGUGACGAAGGGGAGGAGAUGAUAACUCUGUGGCGGGCCGAUGCUGAUGUGGUCGAUACUAUCAAGCCUUUGGGCGGGUUGCGACUGGCGGUCAACGUGUGGUCAUCGUUCUCAACACCUGCGAAGUCUCACCGAAUAUAUGCGUGUACAAAUUCAAAGCACUCUUUUCACCAAACAUGGAUUAUAGUAUUGCGUUUUCUCUCUCUCUCUCUCUCUCUCUCUCACUCUCACUUAUCCUUUGCCGCUUGCUUGUCUCUGAGUACAUAAAGAGAGAGACGGAGGGCAAACAAUGUAACCCAUGAAGGAAAGCUUUCAUUAGCUUCAGUAGACUUAAAGAGUACAGGCUUCUUGUCCAAUAGUAACAAAGCUAAAGAAGGAGAAAGACAAUUUAGAAAGGAAAUAUUGCAGGUUAAGAUUGCGUAUAACACAGUCCUUUAGCUUGAAGCUGGGACAAGCUGCAGUUAUUUGGCUCCUGCUAAACUGGUUUCGCAGUGACAGUAAGGAAAGUGACUACAGCAGCAGCUUUCUCUCCCAGUAUUGGCCAAGUCGAGUUGCAUACCUACCAAGUCUGCCUUGUCUUCAGUAACGCUUGUUGCAGACUGACUUCAGUUCCGGAUCCAAAGAGGCCAUGUCGAUGCCGAGAUGUUGUUCCUCCCUUUGCGUUAGAACUCCUCCCAUCCUCCUCAUCAUGCUGCCAACCCCAAGAAAGUCUCGAGUUAACCUGUCUGUGGCUCCGAAGCCGCUGAACCCGGUUUCUUGCUGGUUUCCACCACUCAGUAUGCCACUGGUUUCGUUAGUGAGAGAAUUCACGAGAUCUUGGAAAUGGCUCUCGCUCUCUACGCCAUCGAAGACAGUCCGAGAACCUGCAUUCUUUGCAGCGCUAGAAUAUAAGCUGCCGACUCCUCUGAGCGAGGAGCUCGCACUGAUGCAACUGGAUGUUGCACCCAUUUGCGUAGCCUUCUGAAGAAGUGCAGUUGCCGACAUAUGUGGUGGCAUUGAUUCAUUGCUCACCGAGUUGUUGCACAUAGGAGACAUGUUUGCAUCAAGAAGAUUGUUGCCCACGAUAUUUCCUGCAAAGAUUGCGUUUGGCCCGUUGCUUCCACCAGCAGUGUUAAAUGGAUCAGAGACGAGUAGAUGAGCAUUCUGGUUCAUUGCUACGUUGCUGCUGUUGGUGACGGCGCUCCUGUUGCUGCUGUCAGAGAAGAUGCCAAGAUUGGAAAGAUUAGUAGCAGCUGCGGCAGCCGAGGGGGAUGAAGAUUCGGUGUUGGUUUGGAGGUGUUGCAGUUGCAUGAAGCCAUGGAAUGGUUUGCUUUGUAGCAAUUGAGUGUUCUCAUUGAUGUCUUGGCUUGAGCCGCCACCAAGAUAGAACGGGGCAGACUGAGGUGGCGGUGGUGGUCGGAAGGACGGCACCGUGAGGUGAUUGAACUGCAUAGCAUUGCCAUUUCCGCCAAGCCGGAGAAGAUCUGCUGAUGGAUGUGUUUGAUCUUGCAAGGUGGAGAGCUGCGAAUUCAAGUGAGGAAGGCCCAAAUUUAUUCCGGUGUUGCCAUAGAAGUGGCUGCCGAUGGUGUUCAUGCUGGCUGGAACCCUCGCGCUCUCUUGUGCUAAUGCGUCGCAGAAGGCUCUGUGUGUAAUGAAGCUAUCACGCCUGCGUCAAUGACCACAAGAUGAAGCUAUUAGUUGCACUCUUGGAAGAAAGAAGAUGCUAAGCAUGCAUCUCUGUUUCAUACAUCGUGUUGCAAGGCAUCAGAUUAGAACCAUAUAAUAUAUUCGAGAGGGAACUCCUUCCAUGAUUUGAAGCCCUUUCCAUUGCUCCGAAGCCAAGAUUUGUUGCGAUUACCUCAAUCAAUGCACAACUCCUUUACAUUUACUCAUCCUAACAAGAGUAAGUGUCGGUGCACUUCACACCUCGAGUGGUGUCGCACCUCCGGACAAGAAUAAUUCGCUCACAACCAAAGGCGACUCUCAUGAAAUGGUGGAGCUGUGUGCCAUGGCCAUGCCUUGUUGCCCAUGUAUCUCCAAUUCACAACACAACAAAGGAACUUGGUAAGCAUUGCCUCCAGGGCACCACGUGAAUCCAGUGAUGGUAACCCUAACCCUACCUAAGAUUCUUAGAUCGAGAAAUCCCAGUCACCGAAACCGAGAUCGGUGAUGAGUGCAGAGGGGAGUAGCACCACCAACAUGACCAAGAACCUACUGCGGGAUGGAUGCUGAUGUUUCAAUCAUGGAUUGGAGUUGGAUGUCCAAAAUGCAUCGAUCGAUGAGCAUUGGAUGCGAUGAUAGAUGCACGCAGUACCUGGAAAAGAGGGUUCCGCAGUCGCAGCGGUACUCGCGAGUACCGCACGUCUUGGAAUGGGCCUUCCAGUCCGACUGCACGGCGUACCGCUUCGAGCACUUGUCGCACUUCCACUUCUUCUCGCCAUGCUUGCGGCAGUAGUGCUUCUUGAUGCCGGUGAGGUCGCCGAGGGCGCGAGAGGGGUCGUGGUGGGCGCAGGUCGGCUCGGGGCAGACGUACACACGGCGGCGGACGUCCUUGGGGUUCUUCUGCUUCAGCUUCCACGGUAGGUUGUGGCCACGCCGGUGCAGCUGCAGGUUCUGUUCCCGCUGGAACCCCUUGUUGCACACUUCGCAGAUGAAUCUGUUCGUCGCAAGGAGCGUCUUUGGGGAUAAGGCGAUUACCUCAGCGUCAGGAUCUGCGGAUUCAAUCAGAGUCAAUGGAGUCCUUACAAUGAAAUUGUUUGACUCGACAACAUGUGGAAGAAACUGGUUAGGAUAGUUGAUAGUACACAGCAGUAGCAAACUCUGGGGGAAGAAUCCGAAAAGAUUAAGAUCUGUGAAUUAGGAUUUGUUUUUGCAUGCAAGUGUUCGUGAGUUUGGAUACUUGCUUGGGUUUCGAGGGAGGUUCCUCUUUUUCUUCGGAGGAGGAGCUGCUGGUUGAGCAGCAGCAGCAGCAGCUACCGCUGAGCCUGGCUGUGGCUGUUGCUGCUGGGUGACAUGCUUCUCUUCCUCUAUGGAUCCGAACAAAGGUACCGACGACGAAGCCAUUGUCAUUUCCUGAACCAAAGCAACAAAACAGCACUGCGCUUUCUCUCCCACUCGAUGGUCUUCUUGAUCCUCUUACCCUCACUAUCUGUUUCCGUAUGGGAUCACUGAUGCGUCCAAAUUAGAGCCACAGAGAAGCCGUGGCUACCUUUCGAUCCAACUCUUCCUCUUCCAGAUCCAAAACACAGGAAAAGAACCAAAGAAAGGGAGGGAGGAAGAGAGCAAGAACACAAGUCGUAGCACACGAGUGUGGAUCUAUGCACCAACAAGGCAACCCUAAACAAAAGCCUCCAAACUCUUCCUCCUGGCUCUUGCUAUCUCUGCUAAAGAACAAGGAGAGCUGCAAACCCAAACAACCAGUUGCGCUCAAAGCCAAAUGGAACGAAAGAGAAACAGCGCGAGAAGAAAACAAAAGAGCAAAAGUAGUAGAUAACCUCUUCCUCCCCUUCUUCUUGUGCUACUCCAUGGAAGGGAGAUCCACAUAACAAAGGGCUGUCAUGUGACCCUUCUCUUCCUCUCUUCUUCCCUUAUGGACGAUUCUCCUUUUUCUCUUCCACCUUUCCCCUUGUGCAUCUAUUAUUCCUCACCCUCUUCCCACCCCACCGCAAAUAAAGAGAGAGAGAGAGAGAGAGAGAGAGAGACAGAGAGAGAGACUGUUGACGGAGUUCACGUAGACAAGAGUGUCGCUGUGUGGGAAGAGGUCCACAGGACACUUCCUAUCGUUUGGCGUCUGCUCUUCACUGGGCGUGAGGACAAAAGGCAGCCUCUCAUUCCAACCCUGUAAAAGCCAUAUUGGUGAAAACAGCAUUGACUAACACACUCCCUAUCUUACCACAAGUCAAAAUGAGCUUUGAAUUCAACGGAGUCCGGUAAGCAUGUGGCACUUCCACUUCCUCUUCGUCUCAUAAUUUAGGAUUGUUACGAUGGUAAAACAAUUAAAAUUAGACGAAUUCACUGCAUUUAAUGGCAUCACAAAAUUGGUGGUAGAUUAAAUGACACCCAAAACGAUCACAAAAUAAGCCUAAACCGUAGCCUGCAUCCAUCAAUCCUUUCCACCAUCACUUUUUUCAACCGAUAUAUGUCUUUAACCCGAUAAUAAAAAAUAGAUCUUAACAUUAUUUGACAUCUAAAGAGACAAUCAAUACUAAAUUCAAAGCAUUCAAGAAGCGAAUGAAGAAUAAGAUUCAGACUCUCUUUACCAUACUCAGUCUGGGCCCAUCACUAAGAAAUCACAUCACUAAAUUUGAAGCCUUCAAGAUGUAAAUGAAGAAUAAGAUUCAGACUCUCUUUAUCGAACUCAUUUUGGGCUGACCACCAAAUCCGAAUAAAUUACAUCAAUAAGAGAGUUCUGACCGAAGAGAUGACUUCCAAUAAAUGAGAGACUCUAUGACCAAUCCCUACUAUCCAUGUAUGAGGGUAGACUUCUCUAGAUGGGAAGGAGACUCGAGAUCGCAGAACGAUAUUUCGUAUAGUUUUCUAUAAUAAAUCUCGAGAGAGAGACUGAAGUAGGAUUUAUUCACCAUAUGUUUUGUCAUUCUCAUAUGUUUCCUUUUCGACUCUUUGAUUGUAAUAUGUUUUUGAUAAUAAUGAAUAACAACUUCAUUAUUUAUCCUUCCUAAAUAUGUUGUUUAUGCCGAUGUCAUCCGAAAAGAUAUACCAAAAUGAUUGAAUGAUCGACACACAAAACGUCUUAUUCUCUACUUUUUCUCUCUUAUCGGACAAUCUUACCAUCACAAGACGUUAACACGACAAACGCAUAUCCCCAUAAAGCAUUGGAUAAAUUGAUGCAAUGAGAACCUUCGUUGCCUUGAUUUCACAUCAAAGUCAAUGUUUCUUCGUUGUGGGUAAUGAGAGUUGAGCUAUGUAUUUUUAAGCACUCGAGGGAUUCUAUCUAUAUAUGAGAGAGAUCAACCCCUCUUACUAAUCUAUAGAUCGACCUUCUAAGGACUCCUUGUCUUACAUUGAAAACACACUCUCUCUCUCACUCUCCCAUACACAUCUUUUACCUUUGGUUUUAAUUAGUGUGUGUGUGUGUGUGUUCUUCAAACAAGUUCAUAAACAUGAAUCAUGCAGCAAAGGCAGCUAACUAAGGAUCCAAACAGUUAAUCUCAUCUCUUGUUUUUGAUGAUUGCAUCCUCAAGAUGAUGGAAUCAAUCAGCAGUCUUCCAACCCCACACUAAAGUGCCUUUUUCCUGCUCCUGAAAGGUGAGAUGGUGAGGCUCAAAAGACCAUACCUCUUUUCCACCUAAACGUGACAGCACAGUCAACAAAUCCCCAUCCAGUGUUUGUUCUCACUGCUGUCCUCACAGACUUGGCCUCCUCUGUGGAGUUCAUUCUCCUUGUAAGCUUUCGUUUCAGCCAUUGGAGGCACAUGAGAAGUGACCCCCAUCUCUGUCUGAGAGAGAAUCUUUGUCUGUCACAGGACUCACCGAUUAAGUGGCAAACCACAUGCGGGAGAGGUUGCUGCAGGAGCUGCUCAUACACAUCGAAUGAUCGAGGAAAACGCCACCAAAUAUACAACAAAGAUGGACUUUAAAUGGUCUUUCGUUUGUGGUCCUGUGAAGAAAUGAAAAAGAUUUUGCAUUUGUACCAAAAGAAGAACAAUUAAAUACCUUAGAAAUUACAUUUGAGAUAAUUUUAAACUCUUUAGCUUAGUCUUAUUAUAGAAAUUAUAACUGAGGUGGGAGAUGUUGGUGUUGAUAGAAUCGAGAAGGUAUCCGAUGUUUAAUCGAAUAUCAACUUAUAUAAAAAUCGAAGUUAGACGUAGUUCCUCCGAUGCUCAAGUCGAUAACAAAAUAGAGUAGAAGUUUAAGUAAAAACAGUAACUGAUUUUGAUUAAUAUGAUUUGAUGACUCUUUAUAAUUAGUUUAAUAGGAAAAAAAUAUUCAUUGUUACGAAUAAAAUAUCUUAUCAAAAUUUUAUAGUAGAUUGAUGUCUACGAAGAUUAAAUAUUUUGAAUCGCGGGCUCAAAUUCCUUGAAAAGAGAUAAUGGUGUUGUAUCGACGCAAACGAUAAAUUAUUUUUUUAUAAUCAACUACCGCCAUCUUAGUAAAAUAUUGUAAAGAUAUUUUUUUAUUAUUCAAAAAGAAACCUAAUCAAAUCAAAUCAUUUUAUAAGGAUUGAGAUGUAGUGAGGUAAACACGAUGACAAGAUCUCCAUGAAACAUGGCCUGUCCUUUAGUAUCUGUACCCUUGCCGUCUAUGUAGAUUCCACGCUCCUCCUGAGGUGGCAUUUGGGUUGGGCAUAUUGGCUGCAUUAAAUUGGAUUUCUUUCCAAGUAUCUAUUCCUUCUAAUCGAGUUUAAAACGAGUUCAUGUAGCAAAACCACUGUUCAACGAUAAAAAAUAUUUUUUUUUAUAAUUUAGAGAUAAAUAAUCUUUCGAUAUUUAGAGAUAAGUAUGCGUACAUAACUAUACCAAUAAAAUGUGUUUAAGUUAGAGGAGAAAUUUAUAGGAUUAAAUUUUGGGCUUUUAUCCAAACUUUAGUAAGUCCAAUAUUCUUGCCCUUAAUCUAAAUUUAUAGGCCCAAUUUGAUUCAAUUUUAAUGUUAUAAUUUUACGACAUGAGUCAUAUGUCAUUGACAUUUGACCAAGAUUCUGAUUUAUUUAAUAUAUGUUAAAUUAUUUAAAAUGAUAAAUAGGUUAACAAAACCAUAUUAAUAGAUUUUGAGUCGAUUCGAUUAAAUAUGUAAUCGAAUUAGAAGCACACUCUGUGUCUUAUCUCCAUAUUCUUCAAUCAAACUAUUAAGUUAAUCGAGUACAUCACACAUCCUUCAGUCUUAGUAAGCAAUCAUCCCACACUUGCUCAUUCCACAAGUCAAUGACCUAACAAAGUCGAGGAAGAUGAUGAUCCAAAUCUUCAACCUAAGAUAAGCUCAGAUGAGUUGAUUGAGUGUGAGAAAUAUUGCAUCCACGUUACAUUCUUGGACAUAAAAUAUGGGCAAGUGUGAGCAAUUUGACUAUGUGUUGAAUAAAAUAGAUUAAUUAAUCGAAUACAAUACAAUCAAUAGAUUACGUGUUCUUUAGAUCAACGUGGACUUCAUUAUUGAUAGCAAACAUAUGGGCUUCGCGAAGAAACCAUUUGCAUUGCAUCGACCGAAACGUCGAUAGCGAGGCAAUCCAAACACCGACAACGUAUAAGACACAGUCCAUCCCAUUUGGACGCAUCUGACGUACACACACACACACACACACACACACAGAGUGAGAGAGAGAGAGAGAGAGAGAGAGGAUAACAGCGCUUAGUUCACCACGCUGCAGACCUUCCUGACCUCCCCGGCGGAGCCAGUGAGGGGGCUGAUGUCGCCCAUCUUCACCAUGGCAGCCGCGAAGUCGGCGAAGAAAGCCGCCUGGUCCUUGCUGUACGCCGCCACCGUGGCGUCGGUAGACCCGCCGUUGAAGAGGAGCUGGUCCGAGUGCAGCAGGCCCUUCUUUCUCAGCAGGUUCUUGUAGUAGUUGUUGUCGAAGGAGCCGGGGGUGACCAGGUCAAGCGGGGCCAGGUUGGUGUCACCGUUGCCGGCGGUCGGAGGGCACCGGCGCUGCCGCAUCCUGGCGAAUCCCGCGUCGAUGUUCGUCUCGUUGUAUAUCCUCCCCCGGAAGGUGGCGCACUGAGCCAGCCCGAUGGUGUGCGAUCCUGAGAGGACGACCAUGUCUUUGAGGCUGAGUCCUUGCCGCGCGAACACGGAGGUGAGCGUGUCGAGGUCGUCGAAGGCUAUUGGCAGGUUUUGCUCUGCCAGAUCUUUGCUGGCGGUGGUGGAGUCUCUUCUUCCGAGCUUCACCUUCCAUGAAGGCCCACCCACCUGUAAUGCACGGUCAAAUUCAUCAUCGCAGAAGCUUUGGAUCUUACGAUAAUCUAUCCAAAUCUUUCUGUUCCGUAAUUUACUUACGUAUACGGAGGAGUCUCGUGCAACGAUGGCAAGGAUAUCAGCACAGGACACGACGCCCGGACACACCUUCUCCACGGCCGACUUUAUGCCGUCGAUCACUUCGUAUCCUCUCGCAGAUCUGAAGUUUUGACGUGCGUUCUUCUCGCUCACGAUGCCCGCCGCAUCGUUCAGCAAGAUGGACGCGUCACAACCCUGA
Molecule: long non-coding RNA, 10194 nt
Filed under: Musa acuminata (dwarf banana)
Lineage: Eukaryota; Viridiplantae; Streptophyta; Magnoliopsida; Zingiberales; Musaceae
Description: long non-coding RNA (MACU_LNC001761)
Source: RNAcentral